RNAcentral lists this ribosomal RNA (199 nucleotides) under uncultured bacterium. Its description in RNAcentral is "partial 16S ribosomal RNA". It matches the Rfam family "Bacterial small subunit ribosomal RNA", at positions 328 to 539 of the family's 1533-position model. The record is from RNAcentral.
ACGCUCGACACCUACGGGAGGUAGCAGUGGGGAAUAUUGCACAAUGGGGGAAACCCGUGAUGCAGCGACGCCGCGUGAAGGAAGAAGUAUCUCGGUAUGUAAACUUCUAUCAGCAGGGAAGAAAGUGACGGUACCUGACUAAGAAGCCCCGGCUAACUACGUGCUAGCAGCCGCGGUAAUCUGAGCGGGCUGGCAAGGC